This 600-nucleotide ribosomal RNA is filed under the name uncultured bacterium. RNAcentral's name for it is "bacterial SSU rRNA". It matches the Rfam family "Bacterial small subunit ribosomal RNA", at positions 735 to 1339 of the family's 1533-position model. The record is from RNAcentral.
CUUUACUGACGCUAAAGCUCGAAGGUGCGGGUAUCGAACAGGAUUAGAUACCCUGGUAGUCCGCACGGUAAACGAUGGAUGCCCGCUGUUGGCGAUACAGUGUCAGCGGCCAAGCGAAAGCGUUAAGCAUCCCACCUGGGGAGUACGCCGGCAACGGUGAAACUCAAAGGAAUUGACGGGGGCCCGCACAAGCGGAGGAACAUGUGGUUUAAUUCGAUGAUACGCGAGGAACCUUACCCGGGCUUGAACUGCAGGGGAACGAUCCAGAGAUGGUGAGGUCAGCAAUGACUCCUGUGGAGGUGCUGCAUGGUUGUCGUCAGCUCGUGCCGUGAGGUGUCGGCUUAAGUGCCAUAACGAGCGCAACCCUUUUCUCUAGUUGCCAUCAGGUUAGGCUGGGCACUCUGGAGACACUGCCACCGUAAGGUGUGAGGAAGGUGGGGAUGACGUCAAAUCAGCACGGCCCUUACGUCCGGGGCUACACACGUGUUACAAUGGGUGAUACAGAGAGUUAGUCGUUCGCAAGAACGGUUUAAUCAAGAAAGUCAUCCUCAGUUCGGAUUGGGGUCUGCAACCCGACCCCAUGAAGCUGGAUUCGCUAGU